CACGGGGGGAGCAAGCGUUGUUCGGAAUCACUGGGCGUAAAGGGCGUGUAGGCGGUUCGGUAAGUGGAAUGUGAAAUCCCUCGGCUCACCCGGGGACCGGCAUCCCAUACUGCUUGGCUUGAGUACGGGAGAGGAUGUGGGAAUUCCUGGUGUAGCGGUGAAAUGCGUAGAUAUCAGGAGGAACACCGGUGGCGAAGGCGCACAUCUGGCCCGAUACUGACGCUGAGGCGCGAAAGCUAGGGGAGCAAACGGG
This 253-nucleotide ribosomal RNA is filed under the name uncultured bacterium. Its description in RNAcentral is "partial 16S ribosomal RNA". It matches the Rfam family "Bacterial small subunit ribosomal RNA", at positions 524 to 776 of the family's 1533-position model. The record is from RNAcentral.